GAUAGGACAGCAUUAUAGGGCUCCACCACCGUGUCUGACACCUUGGGCGAGGGCAUCACACUGAAGGAGUUCAUGAUGCGGUCAGGGUACUCCUCCCGGAUCUUGUUCAUG
Molecule: microRNA precursor, 111 nt
Filed under: Erinaceus europaeus (western European hedgehog)
Lineage: Eukaryota; Metazoa; Chordata; Mammalia; Eulipotyphla; Erinaceidae
Description: miRNA (ENSEEUG00000019582.1)
Source: RNAcentral